UGGGGAAUUUUGGACAAUGGGCGAAAGCCUGAUCCAGCAAUGCCGCGUGUGUGAAGAAGGCCUUCGGGUUGUAAAGCACUUUUGUCCGGAAAGAAAUCCUUGGCUCUAAUACAGUCGGGGGAUGACGGUACCGGAAGAAUAAGCACCGGCUAACUACGUGCCAGCAGCCGCGGUAAUACGUAGGGUGCAAGCGUUAAUCGGAAUUACUGGGCGUAAAGCGUGCGCAGGCGGUUUGCUAAGACCGAUGUGAAAUCCCCGGGCUCAACCUGGGAACUGCAUUGGUGACUGGCAGGCUAGAGUAUGGCAGAGGGGGGUAGAAUUCCACGUGUAGCAGUGAAAAUGCGUAGAGAUGUGGAGGAAUACCGAUGGCGAAGGCAGCCCCCCUGGGCCAAUACUGACGCUCAUGCACGAAAGCGUGGGGAGCAAAACAGGAUUUAGAUACCCUGGUAGUCCACGCCCCUAAACGAUGUCAACUAGUUGUUGGGGGAUUCAUUUUCCUUAGUAACGUAGCUAACGCGUGAAGUUGACCGCCUGGGGAGUACGGUCGCAAGAUUAAAACUCAAAUGAAUUGACGGGGUCAUAGCUGUUUCCU
Molecule: ribosomal RNA, 592 nt
Filed under: uncultured bacterium
Lineage: Bacteria
Description: partial 16S ribosomal RNA
Rfam family: Bacterial small subunit ribosomal RNA
Source: RNAcentral